Molecule: ribosomal RNA, 468 nt
Filed under: uncultured bacterium
Lineage: Bacteria
Description: partial 16S ribosomal RNA
Rfam family: Bacterial small subunit ribosomal RNA
Source: RNAcentral
GAUGAACGCUGGCGGCGUGCUUAACACAUGCAAGUCGAACGGAAAGGCCCAAGCUUGCUUGGGUACUCGAGUGGCGCACGGGAGAGUAACCCGUGGGUGAUCUGCCCUGCACUUCAGAACAAUCCUGGGAACCCGGUUCUAAUACCGGAUAGGACGAUGGCAUGGAUGCGAUUGUGGAAAGUUUGUUCGGUGAGGGAUGAGCUCGCGGCCUAUCAGGUUGUUGGUGGGGUAAUGGGCUACCAAGGCGGAGACGGGGAGCCGGCCUGAGAGGGUGUACGGCCACAUUGGAACUGAGAGACGGCCCAGACUCGUGCGGGAGGCAGCAGGGGGGAAGAUUGGACAAUGGGCGCGGGCCUGAUGCAGCGAGGCCGCGUGGGGGAUAACGGCCUUCGGGUUGUAAACUCCUUUCGCUAGGGACGAAGCGUUAUUGUGACGGUACCUGGAGAAGAAGCACCGGCUAACUACGUG